ACCAUCCUUUUCUUGGGGUUGAGGUACUGUCCAAUGAGCGUCGAGUGAGGGCAGUACUGCUAACGCUUGCACAACACACCCGCAUCACCUAGAGCUUUGCUUUAUCUGGGUGCAAUUUUUGGAAAA
This 126-nucleotide non-coding RNA is filed under the name Carlito syrichta (Philippine tarsier). Its description in RNAcentral is "U4atac minor spliceosomal RNA (ENSTSYG00000028380.1)". It matches the Rfam family "U4atac minor spliceosomal RNA". From Rfam's summary of the family: U4atac is an essential component of the minor U12-type spliceosome complex which is required for removal of the rarer class of eukaryotic introns (AT-AC, U12-type). The record is from Rfam by way of RNAcentral. Lineage: Eukaryota; Metazoa; Chordata; Mammalia; Primates; Tarsiidae.